UUUCCGUAGGGUAAGUUUUUCUCUUCCAACUUUUUAAGAGAAUGAUACUAACAUUUAACAGUGAACCUGCGGAAGGAUCAUUAAAGAUUUGUACUCUGUACAUUUCCAACCCUUUGUUAACUUAUCCUGUUGCUUUGACCGAAUGUUUGUUUAACUUUUGUCUAAACAAACUUAAAGUCGGUCAAAGAAUUUUAAACUCGAUUAAUUGUCAUCUGAGAAUAAACAAAAAAUUAAAACUUUCAACAACGGAUCUCUUGGUUCUGGCAUCGAUGAAGAACGCAGC
RNAcentral lists this unclassified non-coding RNA (283 nucleotides) under uncultured fungus. Its description in RNAcentral is "sequence contains ITS1, 5.8S rRNA gene". The stretch from base 235 to 283 matches the Rfam family "5.8S ribosomal RNA", at positions 1 to 49 of the family's 154-position model. The record is from RNAcentral. Lineage: Eukaryota; Fungi.